RNAcentral lists this ribosomal RNA (253 nucleotides) under uncultured bacterium. RNAcentral describes it as "partial 16S ribosomal RNA". It matches the Rfam family "Bacterial small subunit ribosomal RNA", at positions 524 to 776 of the family's 1533-position model. The record is from RNAcentral.
UACGUAGGUGGCAAGCGUUGUCCGGAAUUAUUGGGCGUAAAGAGCGCGUAGGCGGUCCGAUAAGUCGGCUGUGAAAGUCAGGGGCUCAACCCUUGAAAGCCGGCCGAUACUGUCGGACUAGAGUCCGGAAGAGGCAAGUGGAAUUCCCGGUGUAGCGGUGAAAUGCGCAGAUAUCGGGAGGAACACCAAUGGCGAAGGCAGCUUGCUGGGACGGUACUGACGCUGAGGCGCGAAAGCGUGGGGAGCAAACAGG